AAACCAGCACCUCAAGUGGUCAGGAGGAUUAUUGGGCCUAAAGCAUCCGUAGCCGGCUCUGUAAGUUUUCGGUUAAAUCUGUACGCUUAACGUACAGGCUGCUGGGAAUACUGCAGAGCUAGGGAGUGGGAGAGGUAGACGGUACUCGGGAGGAAGUGGUAAAAUGCUUUGAUCUCUCGAUGACCACCUGUGGCGAAGGCGGUCUACCAGAACACGUCCGACGGUGAGGGAUGAAAGCUGGGGGAGCAAACCGGAUUAGAAACCCUUGUAGUCC
This 274-nucleotide ribosomal RNA is filed under the name uncultured bacterium. RNAcentral describes it as "partial 16S ribosomal RNA". It matches the Rfam family "Archaeal small subunit ribosomal RNA", at positions 473 to 747 of the family's 1478-position model. The record is from RNAcentral.